Tachyglossus aculeatus (Australian echidna) is the source of this 380-nucleotide long non-coding RNA. RefSeq lists it as uncharacterized. The record is from RefSeq and is a predicted model, not a curated record. The transcript is spliced from 3 exons. NCBI's taxonomy places the organism in Eukaryota, Metazoa, Chordata, Mammalia, Monotremata, Tachyglossidae.
AGCAAACAGAGAACUAGCAAGGGAGGGCUGAGUAGUCAAGGCGCCUGUGAGGAAAUCUCCGGAGGCUGUGAGCCGGCCCGCCAGCCACUCACCACGUACAGCUUGUGCCAGAUGACAGCCCAUUCCCGCAGUGUGGACGUCAGCUCCUGCACCAGGGGGACUUCGCUUGGAAUCACUGUCUCAUGAUGCCUGGAAUGAUCAAACGAGGUGUCUCCUUCAAAUGGAUGUAUGAUACUGGAAAAAUCCCCUGCAAAGAGAGGACAUGGCUUACAGGAUCAUGACUGGCGACUCAGUCUGGGCCACUGCAGCAGAGAAAAUCGAGGAAGGUGAUCAAGCUCAGGGCAAAGGGGCUCCUUUAGGGAUUCAAUAAAUACAUUACA